AUUGAACGCUGGCGGCAGGCCUAACACAUGCAAGUCGAGCGGAUGAAGGGAGCUUGCUCCUGGAUUCAGCGGCGGACGGGGGAGUAAUGCCUAGGAAUCUGCCUGGUAGUGGGGGAUAACGUCCGGAAACGGGCGCUAAUACCGCAUACGUCCUGAGGGAGAAAGUGGGGGAUCUUCGGACCUCACGCUAUCAGAUGAGCCUAGGCCGGAUUAGCUAGUUGGUGGGGUAAAGGCCUACCAAGGCGACGAUCCGUAACUGGUCUGAGAGGAUGAUCAGUCACACUGGAACUGAGACACGGUCCAGACUCCUGCGGGAGGCCGCAGUGGGGAAUAUUGGACAAUGGGCGAAAGCCUGAUCCAGCCAUGCCGCGUGUGUGGAGAAGGUCUUCGGAUUGUAAAGCCCUUUAAGUUGGGAGGAAGGGCAGUAAGUUAAUACCUUGCUGUUUUGACGUUACCAACAGAAUAAGCACCGGCUAACUUCGUG
RNAcentral lists this ribosomal RNA (484 nucleotides) under uncultured bacterium. RNAcentral describes it as "partial 16S ribosomal RNA". It matches the Rfam family "Bacterial small subunit ribosomal RNA", at positions 30 to 507 of the family's 1533-position model. The record is from RNAcentral.